GCAGGUCGAGCGGACUUAUGGGAGCUUGCUCCCAUAAGUUAGCGGCGGACGGGUGAGUAACACGUGGGCAACCUGCCUGUAAGACUGGGAUAACUUCGGGAAACCGGAGCUAAUACCGGAUAACUCUUUCCCUCACAUGAGGGAAAGCUGAAAGAUGGUUUCGGCUAUCACUUACAGAUGGGCCCGCGGCGCAUUAGCUAGUUGGUGAGGUAACGGCUCACCAAGGCAACGAUGCGUAGCCGACCUGAGAGGGUGAUCGGCCACACUGGGACUGAGACACGGCCCAGACUCCUACGGGAGGCAGCAGUAGGGAAUCUUCCGCAAUGGACGAAAGUCUGACGGAGCAACGCCGCGUGAGUGAUGAAGGUUUUCGGAUCGUAAAACUCUGUUGUCAGGGAAGAACAAGUAUCGGAGUAACUGCCGGUACCUUGACGGUACCUGACCAGAAAGCCACGGCUAACUACGUGCCAGCAGCCGCGGUAAUACGUAGGUGGCAAGCGUUGUCCGGAAUUAUUGGGCGUAAAGCGCGCGCAGGCGGUUUCUUAAGUCUGAUGUGAAAGCCCACGGCUCAACCGUGGAGGGUCAUUGGAAACUGGGAAACUUGAGUGCAGAAGAGGAGAGUGGAAUUCCACGUGUAGCGGUGAAAUGCGUAGAGAUGUGGAGGAACACCAGUGGCGAAGGCGACUCUCUGGUCUGUAACUGACGCUGAGGCGCGAAAGCGUGGGUAGCGAACAGGAUUAGAUACCCUGGUAGUCCACGCCGUAAACGAUGAGUGCUAAGUGUUAGAGGGUUUCCGCCCUUUAGUGCUGCAGCAAACGCAUUAAGCACUCCGCCUGGGGAGUACGGCCGCAAGGCUG
Molecule: ribosomal RNA, 857 nt
Filed under: Cytobacillus oceanisediminis
Lineage: Bacteria; Bacillati; Bacillota; Bacilli; Caryophanales; Bacillaceae
Description: bacterial SSU rRNA
Rfam family: Bacterial small subunit ribosomal RNA
Source: RNAcentral